This is an RNA transcript of Manis javanica (Malayan pangolin), 7210 nucleotides long. It is a transcript of the gene named STAM binding protein, with no coding region annotated. The record is from RefSeq and is a predicted model, not a curated record. NCBI's taxonomy places the organism in Eukaryota, Metazoa, Chordata, Mammalia, Pholidota, Manidae.
CCUCUCGUAUCUGCGGACGCUGCAUCUCUUCUUUGGGGUGCUGCCCAGCCCUGUAGAACCAGGCACCGCUCUGACCUUGGUAGGGGAUUCCAUUCUCCUCCCAAAAGAUCCUCUCCCGAGAGGUAGUGAGAACUUGGUCCUGAUGUUUGACCAUGGAGAUGUGAGCCUUCCGCCCGAAGACCGAGUGAGGGCUCUCUCCCAGAUAGGCAGCACGGUGGAAAUAAAUGAAGACAUUCCACCUCGUCGGUACUUCCGCUCUGGAGUCGAGAUGAUCAGAAUGGCCUCCAUUUACUCUGAGGAAGGCAAUAUUGAACAUGCCUUCAUCCUUUAUAACAAGUACAUCACACUCUUUAUCGAGAAACUACCAAAGCAUCGAGAUUAUAAAUCGGCUGUCAUUCCUGAAAAGAAAGACAUGGUAAAGAAAUUAAAGGAGAUUGCAUUUCCCAAAGCGGAAGAACUAAAGGCAGAGCUGUUAAAACGAUAUGCCAAAGAAUAUACAGAAUACAAUGAAGAAAAAAGGAAGGAGGCAGAAGAAUUAGCCAGGAAUGUGGCCAUCCAGCAGGAACUAGAAAAGGAAAGGCAGAGGGUAGCACAACAGAAGCAGCAACAGCUGGAGCAGGAACAAUUCCAUGCCUUUGAGGAGAUGAUCCGGAACCAAGAGCUAGAAAAAGAGCGCCUGAAAAUUGUGCAGGAGUUUGGGAAGGUGGACCCUGGCCUGAGUGACCCGCUCGUCCCUGACUUGGAGAAGCCCACUCCAGAUGUGUUCCCCACAGCUCCUGUGGCAUCCAUGCAGCCUUCAGACUGUAAUACAGCUGUAAGGCCUGCCAAGCCACCUGUGGUGGACAGGUCCUUGAAACCUGGAGCGUUAAGCAACUCAGAAAGUACCCCUACCAUCGAUGGACUGCGCCAUGUGGUGGUGCCCAGAAGGCUCUGCCCACAGUUUCUCCAGUUGGCCAGUGCCAACACUGCCCGUGGAGUAGAGACAUGUGGGAUUCUCUGUGGAAAACUGAUGAGGAAUGAAUUUACCAUUACUCACGUUCUUAUCCCUAAGCAAAGCGCUGGGUCGGAUUAUUGCAACACUGAGAACGAAGAAGAACUUUUCCUCAUACAGGAUCAGCAGGGUCUCAUCACACUGGGAUGGAUUCAUACUCAUCCCACACAGACUGCCUUCCUCUCCAGUGUUGACCUGCACACUCACUGCUCUUACCAGAUGAUGUUGCCAGAGUCAGUAGCCAUUGUUUGCUCCCCCAAGUUCCAGGAAACUGGGUUCUUUAAACUAACUGAACAUGGACUGGAGGAGAUUUCUUCCUGUCGCCAGAAAGGAUUUCAUCCGCACAGCAAGGAUCCACCACUUUUCUGUAGCUGUAACCACGUGACUGUGGUGGACAGAGGAGUGACCAUCACAGACCUUCGAUGAGAGUUUGGCUCAAUCACCCUUCCAAGAACUAUAAAACCAUUCCAGUAUACUGUAACCCCUUAAUUUAAACUUUCCAGAAAGCUCUAGAAGCUUUUGCAGACAAUAGAAAAGUGAUCUGUUGAUCAAGCAUUGUCUAAACAGGCUAACUCAAAAGGUUUGAUUGUUUUGGGGAAGGUAAGGGGAAGAUGGAAUUUGAGAUGACAUGGAAGGUGUGUCCCAAUUCCCUUUUAAUUGUUGAGUUAUUUUGUCUGCCUGCUGCCCUCUCCCAGGGCAGUGAAGUCAUCUGUUCUUUUGGUUCUAUCUGAAGUGGGUCAUCCUAUUCACUUCCUCCUUAGGGCCUGAAAGCUUUCAGCUGAAGAUAAUAGAACCUUUAUUUGGAGUGUCCGGUGAAACUCCAAAUAAAUGAUUACAUUCCCAUGGCACCCAACCAUACCAAUUUUAUUGUGUGGCUAUCCUUUUCUGACUUAGGCAACAUCUAGGAAGGUGUUUGAAGCUGCAGUUGAUUCUGUAUUUUUCUUUCAGUGAGAUGAGCCUAGUGUUUUAAGGUGGCCUGGAAAUAAUGGCACUGUGUGGGAGGCCUCAGGUGAGGGCUGGAGAGUAAAAUACCUUGAAUAAGAGAAGAAUGAUCUCUUUUUAUAUCAGAAUUCUGUGGGAAAAAGUCUGCAGAUGUAUGAUGUUUUGCUUCAUGUUAAAAUCUUGUGUCCUGAAUAUGUUCAGUCUUUAUCACUUAGGGUAGCAGUCCUCGGAGCACUUGAACCUGAAAGAGCCAAGUCUCUCUGUUCUUGUCCUUCUUAGGUUUUCAAUUUCCAAGAUACCAGGAAUUCUUUCUUCUGCAGUUUUGGUAUAGGUGAAAAUGUGGGGCCAAGUGGGUCUGAACCAGAGAUGAGUGCCUCUCCUGCCACUGCCUGCUAUCCCUGCUGUGGCCCCAGAGGUGCCUGGAUUGUUCCCCCUUGCCCUAACAGUCCUACAAGGGCCCAGUCCUGUACCUUCCAGGAAAUUGAUCUUACUCUCCAUCCUCAGGGCUACUGUUGAGUUUAAGGUUUUAUUACCCCUUACUUGGACUAUUGCAGUAGGCUUUUACCAGAUCUCUCUCUCUUUUUCAGUAUUUCUUGACUCCAGUCUGUUCUGUCCAGUAAAGUCAGGAGAAGCUGCCCAUAUUGCAACCAUUCUCAUGCUUCCUGCCCAAAAACUACAGUAGCUUUCCAUUGCCUAAAACCUAAAUUGAACCUUUAUUCAGAACUUUCUGCAUAUGGCCACAUAAAGUUCUUGCUCCUGGCUACCCAUUCAAAUACUAGGGAAAUACAUUUUUUAAAAACUGAUAAUUGUGUUCCACCCUACACCAGUGAAAUCUGAAUCUCUGGGAUGGGGCCCUAGACAUUGUUUUUGACUUUGUCUCUAAAGCUGCGAGGAUUCUCACAUGCAGCCAAGGUUGAAAAUUACUGCACCAGUCAUUUGUAUCUAAGAAUUGUGCGCUCUCUUCCCAAUCUCUGCAUACCAAAGACAUUCAGUAAAUGCCUAUUGAACCAAAGUGAAUUUAAUGUAUGGUAUAUCGCAACCACACCAAAUGGCCACAUUUUCUUGCUUCUGUACCUUUGCACCAGAAAUCCCAGUGGCUGCAUGGGAGCAGGAAAUCAGUCUGCACAUGUCAUCUUUUCACCUGCAACAGUGGCACUUUGCACAGGGUCAUUUCAGUCUCUCUCUCUUCACCCUACCUCUGUGGGAGAGUGGUGCUGUGGAGCUGGCCCACAAGGAAGCAGGGAGACUUGGGAGGACAGAGGGGGAGAAAAGGAAAGGACAAAGGGAAUAUUGCGAAUAAACAGGAAUCAGACCAUGAAACCUGAGGAAAGCAGCUUAUAUUGAAAGGUAAAGAGACUGACUCCUGGACUCCUGAAAGCCUUCCUGCUCUUACAAGCUACACAAGUACCAUGCUUACUGGUGGGGCUGAGUGGGAGAGAGGCAGUGUCUGGUUGCACCCUGGCUGGUAUCAGUGGCACAGACCCUCCCAAGUGCCUUGGGCCAGGUGCAGAGAGACUCUGGGGAAGCUGCCUUGCUGGGGACUUGGGUAGUGCUGAAUUUUCUCAGAUGAUCUUGUACUCCUAGCUAAAUGUCACCAAAGAGGAAGAAGAAACCACUUAAGCCUUUGUAAUGCUCUCUUAGGUACCAGACACCUUAGAAGGCAGCAUGGGGAGAAGCAGUUCCGUGGGACUAGUCUAGUAAUGGACAUCUGUUGUUUGAGGCAAAGGUUCCAACCUUUGUUUUGGCACCCCAGAAUUGACAGUCAUAAUGCCUAUCCCCUUUGAUUGUUGAUCACUUCUGGGUUUUAGUUACCCCAGUGGAAGAAAUUUCACAUGUGGGGGUUAAGUGGAAUAGAGACUACUGAGAGUAAAGCUUUAAUGGUGUGAAGACUCCAUGAGUCCUGCCACUUAGGUCAGUUUCACAUGGAUUUUGAGAACAGUUUUAGGACCAGACCGGAUGGUGUUCACUAGAAAACAGUUUGUAUGUGGUAUUGUGCCUCCCAACCUCCUCCCUGGUAACUUAGUGUUUUAACAGUACCUGGGUUAGGAGACCGGUUUGUCCAAGGAUUUUUCAAGCCUCUGAGCCCAGAACAGAAUUUCUGGGUCAAGGCUCAUUUCUUUUUGUGAGCAGCUUUGCCUGGGCACAGAGAAGGCCUGUUUGGAUUACGAGCACUGGAACACCACCCUCUCAAGAGGAAGUGUCAGUGAGCAUUUAAGACUUUGCUUCUAGGCCAGCUUUUCAUUCACCAGCAAAUCACUUAACUUAAAGUCUGUAAAAUGCAGUCAGUCUAAUAAUGCUUACCUCAGAUGAGAACAGAACAAAAUCCAUAAAUAACAGAGAGUUGUAAGAUGCCAUAAAGAUUUAAGGUACUUGUUAUUUGUGUCUCUCAAAAUACGAGAGGUAAGGUGCCAUUGCUUCCACCUAUAGAUCUCUAUCCCAUCCAACUUCCAGCUACAGGACUCCUUGGGCAGAUCCACAUUCUUUAUCACUAGCUGGGCCUCAGCUCCAAAUAUCUUGUUUGGUCUGUCCUGAUUUUCUGAGCUGGAAAACUGAGAACUUCAAGAACCAAAAGAAGCAUCCCAAAUUUUUACCCAUUUUCCCUAAGACCGAGAGCAGAACCAGGACCUAAAGAGAUGCACCAUGUCUUUUAUGCCUUGGUUCCACCCGUUCUUAUCUGAACCUCCCAGUUUUGUCCUUCCAACUAUUUACUGAAACAGAGGAAGAGAACUUUGAUCCUUUUCAUAGAUGUCUUUACUCCUCAAUCCAGAGUUGAAUUUUUUGUUAACUUUAGUCUACUUGGGGUUAGAAGCAGGGCCUUAUGCUUUUAGGAUGUGGCCAGUAUCAUUCACUGUGUCUGUUAGAUCCAGAAUCCAGCCCUGUUACACUGCAUAACUAUGGGCACUUGUGUCCUUUGGUGAUCAAAUCUGCUUCCCGUAGGUUUUGGUUCAAAUUCUAUCUCCUCUCAGGUCUUCUCUCACUGGUAAAUUCAUUCCAGGGGCUUUCUCAUUGGACUCCAGUGACACAGCAUGUUUCCCACAAUUUGAUUUGUGAUUUUUUUUUUUGGCCAUUUUGCAGUGUUUUUAAGUUCUCUUUCCAUGUGAGUAAUGUCUCUGUAUAAACUCUGAAAGGAUAGGGGCCAUGCUUGCAUUCUAGCACUGUAUUGGGUGCCUUUCAGCCAGCAUGGUACUUCCUUACUUUCUUUUGCUUAGCCCUUUCUUGAAAUAGUGUCCUUGGUGUUGAAUUGUGUAUUAGGAAGUCAGCUAAACCUGUGCCCUACCCUUUCGAAGCUUUGUCUCCAUGCUGUGGGAAACUAUCUUAACACCUUCACUCAGACAUCGUAUCUUGACCUGCACUGCUACCCCAGUGUCACCUUGUGCAAAGGCCAUAAUGCAAGCAAGAACUCUCAUCAGAAGGAGCCAGCAGUUGAGUCCUCCUUCCAGCUGCCAGGAUAGGUGUUGUCCUGCCCAACAGGCUAUGUAAUUGGUGGUCAAGGGAUGAUGUGCCUACAAUGAAGGCUAAAGGUGGAGAGGGUCAGAGAGGUAGGAGACCAGGAGAUCAUGACACCACUCUCUUGGCACAGAAACCAAGAAAGGCAACAGUUUAAACAAGGGGAGGUAAGUGGUGCCAAGUGGCUCUGGAGAGGUUUUCUGGGCUAAGGACCAACAUGAAUCCAUGGGAGCUGGUAGUUAGCAUGGUUUCUUCCCUGACAACCCCAUCUAAACCACCUCCAACCCCAUCAUUCUGCCACAUCUCCUUUACUGUGUGAAUAGCACAGUCAUUAGCUGAAAUCCUCCUGUUUGCUUAUUUUUAGCUUAUGUAUCUAAAGUAAGUUCCUUGAAAACAGCAACUUUGCCUUGUUUACCCAUGUAUUCCCAGCUCCCAGUUUUUCAUUCUUAAUAUAAAGACAAUGUUUUUAGGGAUAAGUAGAUCCAUUCUAACUACUAUUAUCUAACACUGUCCUGAAAGGAUAAUCCAACCUAAGUAAUGAAGCAGGAUAAAGAGUUUACUAUUGGAAAGGAGACAGAGAUUUUGUCUGCAAACCAAGUAUCUACCUAGAAUUCUGGAGAUAGUCAAUCCUGAACAACAGUUAGACCUAGUAAGAGAGCAGCAAGGUUGUCCACUAAAAGAUAGAUAUGAACUUACAAAAUAGCUUUCUAGUCCAAGUAAUAACCAGUUGUGAUCAGGGGGAAAAAUCUCUUGCACUCCAGCAACCAAAGCUAUAAAAUACCUUGGAACAGAAUUAACAGUAAAUAUGUAAGACCUGUAGGAAGAAAACUAUUAAGCUUUACGGAAGAACGUGAAGAAAAUAAAUUGAAAGACAGAUACACUAUAUUCUAUGAGAGGAAGACUUAAUGUUUUAAAGAUGUUACUUCUUCUUUAAUUAUUCCACAAAUUUACAUGAAAGUCUUCAAAAAUCUCAUUUUUUUAACUUGGAAAGAUUAUGCUAAAAUUAAUCUGGAAUAAGUAAAAUAACUUUCUAAAAAUUAAAAGAGAAUGUUGGCAGAAAUGUUAUUACUAGAUAACUCUUAUUACAACCUGUUAAAAUAAUACCAUGCUGGUGGCAGACUAGAUUAAAAAUUAGCAAACUUUAUUGUUGAAGGAGUUAAGACUUAAAGAGAUGAAGCUGCCAAAGGCCACGGAACUCUAAAUGAGCAGUGCCAGACUUCCAAACCCAUAUUCUUAACAAUCAGGCAACGCUGCCCUCCUGAAAUACACAUAGAUAGAUACAGUCAUAAAGACUAUUACAAAAUGUUAGUAUUAGUUUUCUGUAGAUGAUGGAAUUAAGGCAUGAUUGUGCUUCUUUUUCCCCUCUAUACCUUUUGAAUUUCCAAAUAGUCUACAGAGAACGUGUAUUGCUUUUAUAAUUGGACAAAAAGGACAAUGCCUGCUAUUUUCAGAGACCAAAGUUCCACUGCUCCUUCAGUGUGAGAAUCCAGCCAAGUUCUUAUUCUUGGACAGCAUCACUGAGAGGGCCUUGGGAAUGCUCUUGGGCGCAGCAGCAGAGGCCUGUCAUAUAUGGAAACCUUCCAUGAAGAUGACCUCACCACUGGAACCCAUUCAGCAUAAACCUUGCCUGCAAGAGCUAGCAGAGAUCUUUGAACAAAACCUGGAGGAUGGAGAGCCAAGAAAGAACUGACCUAAAGAAGAGAACCUCUAGGCUUAUGGUCUAGAAUACCCAUCUGGGCUUAGUACGUCUCCCCUGUGAUCAGUUCCUAGAGAAGGAUUACUUUUCCCAACCUCACUCCCCUCCAAAAAAGAAUUACCACAAUGGUCCAA